AUGCACAGUGCUAACCCCGGGCUUGUCGGACUGGAAUCCUUUGAAGAAUGAAUCCCCAAUGACUGUGCUAGAUCCACCAUGCCAUUCAGUGUUGCAGGUCAUGAUGCCUCGAGCUCGUGAUUGGUCUGUGUCAGCGUAAUGGAUACAUUC
Molecule: small nucleolar RNA, 150 nt
Filed under: Oryza rufipogon (brownbeard rice)
Lineage: Eukaryota; Viridiplantae; Streptophyta; Magnoliopsida; Poales; Poaceae
Description: snoRNA snoR134
Rfam family: small nucleolar RNA snoR134
Source: Rfam by way of RNAcentral